Molecule: ribosomal RNA, 253 nt
Filed under: uncultured bacterium
Lineage: Bacteria
Description: partial 16S ribosomal RNA
Rfam family: Bacterial small subunit ribosomal RNA
Source: RNAcentral
UACGUAGGGUGCAAGCGUUAAUCGGAAUUACUGGGCGUAAAGCGUGCGCAGGCGGUUGUGCAAGACAGAUGUGAAAUCCCCGGGCUUAACCUGGGAACUGCAUUUGUGACUGCACGGCUAGAGUGCGGCAGAGGGGGAUGGAAUUCCGCGUGUAGCAGUGAAAUGCGUAGAUAUGCGGAGGAACACCGAUGGCGAAGGCAAUCCCCUGGGCCUGCACUGACGCUGAGGAGCGAAAGCAUGGGGAGCGAACAGG